Pangasianodon hypophthalmus (striped catfish) is the source of this 2750-nucleotide long non-coding RNA. RefSeq lists it as uncharacterized. The record is from RefSeq and is a predicted model, not a curated record. The transcript has 2 exons. Lineage: Eukaryota; Metazoa; Chordata; Actinopteri; Siluriformes; Pangasiidae.
UCCAAAGAGCAGCUGUCAUCGGGCUGUGCCUAGAAACAUUUCACAAAGCAGCACUGAGAGUUUGCACACCGGAGAGAGGCGAACUCUAGCAAGAGCAAAAUAAGGGCCAGUCGCUUCAGUUUUACAGACACCAAAUUAUGAUUCAUCUCCAAACCUCUCGACAAAGUGACAGAGUGCGUCCCAAACCGCACACUAAAUAGUAAGUGAAAAGAGUAAUCCAGGGAAGGUUUUGGACGCAGCCGCAGAGUGCGCGACGUUCUCUCUCUCUCUCUCUCUCUCUCUCUCUCUCUCUCUCUCUCUCUCUGUGUGUGUGUGUGUGUGUGUGUGUGUACACGGCAUUCGGGUAAGAAAUGAGGAUUCCUGUGACCGCUAAACUGAACGACACUCAAUAGAUUACAUCAGUUCGGGACGCGGCUGCGUGUGUUUUCACAUGGUGGGCUAUCUGCGCUCAGCUCGGACGUGUAUCCCGGCUUAAAGAUGACAUCUUAGCCAAACGCUUAACUGCCGUCACACCACGCCAACAGCAUUAUAAAGUCAUUAGGUUGCCUCAAUUAGCGGCUAUAAAAGGAGCACAACGUGGGCAAGGACUUUCGCUUUAACUUUUCUUUAACUGAGGCUCAGCGCUGUGUGACGCGCAUCAGUGAGUAAAUACCGUCAUUUAAGUCCAUUUGUUUACGAGGAGCUUUUACACUGAAGGUGCAGAAACUUUGGGAAUACGGGCUUGGAAGCCAUUCAUAGGUAAACUGAGUGCUAUACAAGUAGGCUAAGGGUGUUUUUGUUGUUGUGUUUUUUUUUGUUGUUGUUGUUGUUUUUUUUUUGUUUUUUUUAUGACAUACUAAAUUUGCACGUGUAGAUUCCAAACUCGGAUACACUUUUGUUAUUGCUAUACAGGCAAACCUUUGUUACACUGAUAAAUAAAAUGCUAAUAAAAAUUAAAAUAGUUUAAAAUAGUCACGGGGAAAUUUCUUUCAAAUGUGCUGAAACAUUAAUAUAAUCUGUAAGGCGCGUUCAUUGAGGGAAAUUUAAAUGUCUUGAAAUUUUGCACAAGUUUAAUAUGGAACCUUUUUAAAAUUUAUUUAUUUAUUUAUUUUUUUGCCAACUGACAUUUUGACAUUUUUGGAAAGUAAUUACAGUCGUCAAGCUUCCCCGUUAUUCAGCGUGUUCUUCCCCGUGUGCUCCUCGCAUAAGCGCGUGGGAAAGUGUCGGUGCUGGAGAGCAGGGGAGCUGCGCGGUACUGAGCAGGUGUGAGGUGGCUGUUUUCCGCCUGGCCAGGAAAUGACUGGGACACACUGCAUCUGUUUGUACAUCAGCAUCCGAACUGUACAAAUAUUCAGCUAAUUCAGACAGCACACUUUUACUUCACAUUCAAAAACACUGAAAUCUGUGAAUUAAUAGCUGCGUUGAGGUAAAAGAGUAAGACUAACAUUAAAUUAUUACAUCCUAGAACAUUAAAUUGGGAAUUCAUAUUUUAUAUAAAUUGUCAUAUGUAAAUCGGCGUAAUAUAUACACUAAAAGUAGGUUAUGUACCUAAUGAAACUAGCAGCCUAGUAAUAUCAGAUACUUUAAAACAAAACCUCCUGUAGGGAAAGUAAGAGCAGCUGAAAGUCGGAUUAUGUUUGAGAACUAAACGCAAGCUAGAACACAAAGCUAUGAAGUGAUUAAACCAUUAAAACAGACAUUACAACCACUGGCAGUUUGGCCAGAUUAUUUAAUGAUGGUGGAUUAUAGAUGAUGAAAUAACUACGCGGAAGAAAGAAAACUAGUCUAUUUGAUUGGUUACUUUUUUUUUUUUUUUUUGGCAAAGAAUUUCAUAAAAGAACAUUAUAAAUGUAUUAGUGGCGAAAACUGUAAUGAGCUGAAAUUUAAAUUUUAAGAGAUCACUUAAUCAAAAUAUCCCAAAAAGCCUGAGCGCUGUUAGACUUGCAGUAGAAAGUAAACAAGGUCCUGAAGACAAACUGUUGCUGUGGAGCUUCAGCUGGAUCAUGCGCGCCUCCUACCGGCUGCACCGGGAAUGGCCUUUUCAAUAAAACACGGACAAGCUCUGAAAAGAUCAUUUGCAGGCAUGUGUGUAGUUACAACUCGAACAAUUGUGAAAUUAAAUACUGUGCAGUCUAGCUGAGGCAUGAAAGUAAGAAAAAAAAACAACAACGAAUUAUCCCUUUAUGUACACUAUAAUCCAUUUCUUUUUCAAACGUUGCGUAAAGCAUGGGAAAUUAAGAUGAGUCUGCUCUUGACCUGUUCACCGUGUAUUAAAUUACAAAUUCCUAAUAAUAAUAUUUUAUUCGGGCAAAUGACAUUUUCAUUUAUGUGUGUUUAUUUUUACAGCGUAAUUAAACGCUGCGUUCUAAUAUCUAAUAAAUCAUAAGCUCGACUGGGGCUGGAAAAAUUAGUUUUAAAUAUGAUGUUUUUACAUGUGAAAAUCUCUCUCAGACUGAAACAUAAGCAUGGACCUUCAUACUGAACCCUGCUAUGAGAUUCGCGUAAAAUGAGAUGAAAAACAAAGCUUGCUCAAACGUUGUUUUGUUUGCUUCUGUGUAGUUUUAUAAGUAUUGUCUUUGGCUAUGCUGAAACAGGGCUUAAUUAUUCGCACCAGAAGAGCUGUAGACACAAAAGACUUUCUGCUCUUGACAAGAAACGUGUGGAAUGAAGUAAUUAUAUAGAUAAACUGUAACUACACAAAUAUCUUCCUCAUAAUAGUGUUGUAAGUGUAGCUAAUUACAUUACACGCAAAAAAAAAAAAAAAACUAGAA